RNAcentral lists this ribosomal RNA (301 nucleotides) under uncultured bacterium. RNAcentral's name for it is "partial 16S ribosomal RNA". It matches the Rfam family "Bacterial small subunit ribosomal RNA", at positions 509 to 807 of the family's 1533-position model. The record is from RNAcentral.
CAGUAGCCGCGGGAAUACGAAGGGGGCUAGCGUUGCUCGGAUUUACUGGGCGUAAAGGGCGCGUAGGCGGACAGUUUAGUUGGGGGUGAAAGCCCGGGGCUCAACCUCGGAAUUGCCUUCAAUACUGGCUGUCUUGAGUACGGGAGAGGUGAGUGGAACUCCGAGUGUAGAGGUGAAAUUCGUAGAUAUUCGGAAGAACACCGGUGGCGAAGGCGACUCACUGGCCCGUUACUGACGCUGAGGCGCGAAAGCGUGGGGAGCAAACAGGAUUAGAUACCCCCGUAGUCCCUGUCUCUUAUAC